GUACAUAGGUACCUAUACAUAUUUUUGACAUUUUGUUCGUGGCAAUAUUUAAUACCUUGACUUGUAACUUAAGCGUAGCAACUAAUAUAAUAAUUGUCUACCUGCGACCUUGAGUUGGUGGAAUAUUUUUAAAGACUGCAUGUUAAUACAGGAAAAUAUUUUAUACCAAAGUCACGAUGUUGUAGAUACAUAAUCAAUUCUUAUAAGUAAGAUCAUUCUCGCUGACCUGUUGACCACACAAGUCGCAUCCGUCAUGGCUCGUUUUGUUUUUCUUUUAUGCUGUAUAAUUUCUAUGGCGAUAGCCACAUCACCCGAUAGCAAUGAUAAGCAAUGCAUUAAGCCGCACGAAAGAUGGACGAACUGCUACAUCGGUGAAUGUGCGCCUAUCACAUGUGGACACCUGGGCAAACCACUGGCAUGUCCCGCUAUAGCACCGCCUUGCGCGGGUGGCUGUAUUUGCAAACAAGGCUUUGUGAGAAACCAGAAUGAAGAUUGUAUAAAUGCCAAGACAUGCCCAAACUGUGGCGGCGAUCCUAAUGCACAAGCUGGCUGUGGCAAUUCUUGUAGACCUACUUGUACAAACCCAGCUGGCAUACCUGCAACGGAAUGUACCACAUCCUGUAACUUUAAUGGCUGUGACUGCAAGGAGGGGUACAUACUGAACACAGAUAAAAACCCACCGAUAUGCGUUCUCCCUAAGGAUUGUAAACAGUAAUCCUUUAACUCGUCAACUCAAUAAACAAGCAGACCAAUAAACAAGAAUGACGAAUGACAUUUCUAUCAUGUUAUUUAGUUAUCGUGGGUCUCGUCUGCGCCAAAUACAUGUACGGACAAAUACGAGCGAAAUGCACGAUAACAGAUGACAUCAGUGUACAGUCAGCGUCAAAUACUUUGUAGCAGUCAAAGUGGCCAAAUAGUUCGGUACACCAUACUAAAUAUAUGGUGUACCGAACUAUUUGGCUACUUUGGUUGCUACAAAGUAUUUGAUGCUAACUGUACAUUCAUUCUGAUAUCUGUGUACGUUCGAAUUGGUCUGAAGGUCGAGUUCCAAAGAAAAACACGUUUGCAUAUGAUAAGACUUCUUUAUGUAUAACAUUCUGUCCAGUAAUGUAUGUGGAUAUUUUAGGUAACCCGGUAUAAAUAUUAUGUGUCAAAUACUAUAUUUUUAAAUAUUUAGCCAUUAUAUUCCAUGUACAAUAAAUUAAUUUUCAACACUAAAUUUGCCUUUCCUUUCUGGAUUCUCCUAUGACUAAAAUCCUGCUUACUGUGGGGCUUAGUCAAUUUGUGUGAUAAUGUCCUAUAAUAUUUAUUUAUUUCAAUCCAUCCUGAUUUACAUUUAUUUCACAACUUUGGGAAUCGACGUACAAAGUGCUGCGAAGGUAAGUACAACUUUUUAACCCCCUUUCAAUGACUGCCUAUAUGUCUGUCUGUGGCAUCGUAGCUCUCCAACGGAUGGGCCGAUUUCGAUGCGGUUUUUUAAACGAAAAGCGAAUUGGCUUACAGUGGUUAAGGAGCUUAUUAGAAAUGUAUUACAUAUAAGGCAUUAUUACCAUGAGAUGGAUUUUGCUGGCAUAGCGUAGGGCGCCUCAAUUUACCCAUGAGUAUUUACUCACUACCCAUCUCUAGGCGGGAGAGGAGCUGUGAAGUGCGGAUUCCGGCCACAGCUGCAUUACUGUCACACACCUUUAUAAUGUUUUUCGCUCGCGUCCGUACCUCGCAACACAUCCCUCGCAAAACAUUCCUCGCUCGUAUCCUUCACUUGUUUGUAUGUACGAAAACCUCGCUCCGCUGAGCCGUUUCCACUAGAGCUACGCUGAGCUCGGAUAGGUAAAUGUACAGUUUCAUUGCUUCAUGACAAACACAUCCCUCGCUAUGCAUCCUGGUACAGAUUUAAUGGAAACGCAGCCUAAAAUAAUUAAGUCGCUUAUUCAUUAGGACCUUAGAUACGAACAAUAUUUUUGAAGAUUGCACACUAAUAGGUACAAAAGUCACAACGAAUAAUCACGUCUUAUUUUACGUAGGUAGGCAAGUUAAUUCUCGCCGACCUGUUGACCGCGCAAGUCGCGUCCGAGGACAUGGAUCGUAUUAUUUAUCGUUUAUGUUUUAUAAUUUAUUUGGCAACAGCCACAACAUCUGAUAAAAAUGCCAAGCAAUGUACUAAGCCCCACGAAAUAUGGACGGACUGCUACAUCGGAGUAUGUGGGCCUAUCACAUGUGACGACCUGGGCAAACUAAUCGGAUGCCCCAGUGUAGAGCCGCCUUGUGAUGGCGGCUGUAUUUGCAGAGAAGGCUUUGUGAGGAAUGAGAAAGACGAUUGUAUAGAUGCCAAGUUAUGCCCAAGCUGUGGCGGAGAUCCAAAUGCACAAGCUGGCUGUGGCGAUUCUUGCAGACCAACUUGUGCAAACCCAGCUGGCAUACCUACAAUGGAGUGUAUCAAAUAUUGUCCAUUUAAUCGCUGUGACUGCAAAGAAGGGUACAUCUUGAACACAGAUGUUCAACCACCAAGAUGCGUUCUCCCUAAGGAUUGUAAAAAAUAACGUUUAUCACUCGUCUAUAAAAGGCAAGGCAAGAAUCAGAAGUUACCUAGUUUGUUGGCAACCUCCCUAGUCUCGCUAUUGAUGUUUAGUUUAUUUGUAAUUUGUAUGGUCACUCUUACAACAUCAUCAACAUCAUGUAUAUAUAAAAAGUAUGUAUAUAAAUUAAAUAAAUACCAAAAUA
Cydia pomonella (codling moth) is the source of this 2718-nucleotide long non-coding RNA. RefSeq lists it as uncharacterized. The transcript has 7 exons. The record is from RefSeq and is a predicted model, not a curated record. NCBI's taxonomy places the organism in Eukaryota, Metazoa, Arthropoda, Insecta, Lepidoptera, Tortricidae.